UUAACCGGAUUAGAUACCCUGGUAGUCCACGCUGUAAACGAUGCUAACUCGUUUUUGGGUUUUCGGAUUCAGAGACUAAGCGAAAGUGAUAAGUUAGCCACCUGGGGAGUACGAACGCAAGUUUGAAACUCAAAGGAAUUGACGGGGGCCCGCACAAGCGGUGGAUUAUGUGGUUUAAUUCGAUGAUACGCGAGGAGCCUUACCAAGACUUAAAUGGGAAUUGACAUAUUUAGAAAUAGAUCCUCCUUCGGGCAAUUUUCAAGGUGCUGCAUGGUUGUCGUCAGCUCGUGCCGUGAGGUGUUAGGUUAAGUCCUGCAACGAGCGCAACCCCUGUCACUAGUUGCCAUCAUUAAGUUGGGGACUCUAGUGAGACUGCCUACGCAAGUAGAGAGGAAGGUGGGGAUGACGUA
Molecule: ribosomal RNA, 410 nt
Filed under: uncultured bacterium
Lineage: Bacteria
Description: bacterial SSU rRNA
Rfam family: Bacterial small subunit ribosomal RNA
Source: RNAcentral